GACGAACGCUGGCGGCGUGCUUAACACAUGCAAGUCGAACGGAAAGGCCCUGCUUUUGUGGGGUGCUCGAGUGGCGAACGGGUGAGUAACACGUGAGUAACCUGCCCUUGACUUUGGGAUAACUUCAGGAAACUGGGGCUAAUACCGGAUAGGAGCUCCUGCUGCAUGGUGGGGGUUGGAAAGUUUCGGCGGUUGGGGAUGGACUCGCGGCUUAUCAGCUUGUUGGUGGGGUAGUGGCUUACCAAGGCUUUGACGGAUAGCCGGCCUGAGAGGGUGACCGGCCACAUUGGGACUGAGAUACGGCCCAGACUCCUACGGGGGGCAGCAGUGGGGAAUAUUGCACAAUGGGCGGAAGCCUGAUGCAGCGACGCCGCGUGCGGGAUGACGGCCUUCGGGUUGUAAACCGCUUUCGCCUGUGACGAAGCGUGAGUGACGGUAAUGGGUAAAGAAGCACCGGCUAACUACGUG
This 468-nucleotide ribosomal RNA is filed under the name uncultured bacterium. Its description in RNAcentral is "partial 16S ribosomal RNA". It matches the Rfam family "Bacterial small subunit ribosomal RNA", at positions 28 to 507 of the family's 1533-position model. The record is from RNAcentral.